Dicentrarchus labrax (European seabass) is the source of this 169-nucleotide long non-coding RNA. RefSeq lists it as uncharacterized. NCBI's taxonomy places the organism in Eukaryota, Metazoa, Chordata, Actinopteri, Moronidae. The record is from RefSeq and is a predicted model, not a curated record. The transcript is spliced from 2 exons.
UCCGGCAGGGCCGGGGGCACCAGCAAGUCCCAUGGCACCAGGAGAUCCGGGCUCACCACGGUCUCCCUAAAGAAUGGUGAAAAAAGGCAGAUGCAGGUCAUUGCAGUGCUUGUAAUUGGCCUGUUCAAACCUUACCUCACGUCCAGCCUCUCCCUGAGGUCCAGUCAUA